UUGGUGGACGACACCCGAGUAAUUGCCGCCGAUCGCACGGCCUCCGAGCCGGCGACACCUUCACUGAGUUUCUGAUCUAUCAUGCUGACGACGGUUGGUGCUAUGCCAACCGUGGCGUUAACGGAUAACAGAGAAUCUGGGUUCGAUUCUGGAGAGGCCGCAUGAGAAACGGCGACCACUUCCAAGGAAGGCAGCAGGCACGCAAAUUACCCACUUCGGACACCGAGAGGUAGUGACGAACAAUACCGAUGCGGCGCACUUACGUGUCGCCGUAAUCGGAAUGAGUACAAUUCAAAUCCUUUAACGAGGAUCAACUGGAGGGCAAGCCUGGUGCCAGCAGCCGCGGUAAUUCCAGCUCCAGCAGCGUAUAUUUAUAUUGCUGCGUUUAAAAAGCUCGUAGUUGAAGCGUCAGACGCGGGAGGGCGGACGGCCGCACAGGUCGCUCUCGCCCGACCGAGCCAGGCGCAGAGGGCGCGCGUCGCUUGCACUUUGCCGUGUGAGCGCGCCGCCGCUGCACGUUCACCUUGAAGAAAUUGAACCGCUUAGAGGGGGCGAGCAGCUUGAACAGCUCAGCAUGGUAUGAUGGAACAUGGGCUCGUACUCAUUUUGUUGGUUAGAGAGUUGGCGAGCCAAUGAUUAACAGGGACUGCCGGGGGCAUUCGUACUCGGACGGGAGAGGUGAAAUUCAAGGAUCGUCCGAAGACGCCCUACUGCGAAAGCAUUUGCCAAGAAUGUUUUCAUUAAUCAAGAACGAAAGUCAGAGGUGCGAAGGCGAUCAGAUACCGCCGUAGUUCUGACCGUAAACGAUGCCGACUGGCAAUUGGGCGCACUUCUGUCGAAGUUGCCGCCAGCAGUACUGCCCGGGAAACCAAAGUCAUUGGGUUCCGGGGGGAGUAUGGUUGCAAAGCUGAAACUUAAAGGAAUUGACGGAAGGGCACCACCAGGAGUGGAGCCUGCGGCUUAAUUUGACUCAACACGGGAAACCUCACCCGGCCCGAACACUGUUAUGACAGACAGGUUGAGAGCUCUUUCUCGAUUCAGUGGUUGGUGGUGCAUGGCCGUUCUUAGUUCGUGGAGCGAUCUGUCUGGUUAAUUCCGAUAACGAACGAGACUCUUGCCUGCUAAAUAGACGGCGCCGACAUAGCACGGCGACCGUUUGCUUCUUAGAGGGACAAGCGGCUUUUAGCCGCGUGAAGCCGAGAGCAAUAACAGGUCAGUGAUGCCCUCAGAUGUUCGGGGCCGCACGCGCGCUACACUGUUUGCAUCAGCGUGUUACUCCCGCGCCGGCUGGCGUGGGCAACCCGUUGAACCGCAAACGUGCUAGGGAUCGGAGAUUGCAAUUGUUCUCCGUGAACGAGGAAUUCCUUGUACUGGCGAGUCAUCAGCUCGCGGGGAAUCUGUCCCUGCCCUUUGUACACACCGCCCGUCGCUACUACCGAUUGAGUGGUUUAGUGAGGCUCACGGACUGCGCGCGGCACACGGCGUCUUCGGGCGCCGCGUCGCGAGGCGGAAAGUGAGACGAACUUGAUCACUUC
This 1535-nucleotide ribosomal RNA is filed under the name Microporella sp. BLEED387. RNAcentral's name for it is "SSU rRNA". It matches the Rfam family "Eukaryotic small subunit ribosomal RNA", at positions 239 to 1775 of the family's 1831-position model. Lineage: Eukaryota; Metazoa; Bryozoa; Gymnolaemata; Cheilostomatida; Microporellidae. The record is from RNAcentral.